Molecule: ribosomal RNA, 209 nt
Filed under: uncultured bacterium
Lineage: Bacteria
Description: partial 16S ribosomal RNA
Rfam family: Bacterial small subunit ribosomal RNA
Source: RNAcentral
GACGUAGGGCGCGAGCGUUUGUCCGGAUUUAUUGGGCGUAAAGAGCUCGUAGGCGGCUUGUCGCGUCGAAUGUGAAAACUCGGGGGCUCAACCCCCGCGCUUGCAUUCGAUACGGGCAGGCUCGAGUUCGGUAGGGGGAGACUGGAAUUCCUGGUGUAGCGGGUGAAAUGCGCAGAUAUCAGGAGGAACACCGGUGGCGAAGGCGGGUC